This 261-nucleotide ribosomal RNA is filed under the name uncultured bacterium. RNAcentral describes it as "partial 16S ribosomal RNA". It matches the Rfam family "Bacterial small subunit ribosomal RNA", at positions 100 to 353 of the family's 1533-position model. The record is from RNAcentral.
GAACGGGUGAGUAAUACAUAAGUAACCUGCCCUAGACAGGGGGAUAACUAUUGGAAACGAUAGCUAAGACCGCAUAGGUACGGACACUGCAUGGUGACCGUAUUAAAAGUGCCUCAAAGCACUGGUAGAGGAUGGACUUAUGGCGCAUUAGCUGGUUGGCGGGGUAACGGCCCACCAAGGCGACGAUGCGUAGCCGACCUGAGAGGGUGACCGGCCACACUGGGACUGAGACACGGCCCAGACUCCUACGGGGGCAGCAUG